GCUUGUCUCAAGACUAAGCCUGCAUGUCUAAGUAUAAACGCUUCUAUACUGUGAAACUGCGAAUGGCUCAUUAAAUCAGUUAUAGUUUAUUUGAUGGUUUCUUACUACUUGGAUAACCGUGGUAAUUCUAGAGCUAAUACAUGCACAAAGUCCCGACUCUUCGGAAGGGAUGUAUUUAUUAGAUCCAAAACCAAUGCGAGUCUCUCGGGGCUCGGUUUCUUGGUGAUUCAUGAUAACUGCUCGAACCGUAUGGCCCUUGCGCCGACGGUGCUUCAUUCAAAUUUCUGCCCUAUCAACUUUCGAUGGUACGGUAGUGGCCUACCAUGGUUGCAACGGGUGACGGAGAAUUAGGGUUCGAUUCCGGAGAGGGAGCCUGAGAAACGGCUACCACAUCCAAGGAAGGCAGCAGGCGCGCAAAUUACCCAAUCCCGACUCGGGGAGGUAGUGACAAUAAAUAACAAUGCCGGGCUAUUGUAGUCUGGCAAUUGGAAUGAGUACAAUCUAAAUCCCUUAACGAGGAACAAUUGGAGGGCAAGUCUGGUGCCAGCAGCCGCGGUAAUUCCAGCUCCAAUAGCGUAUAUUAAAGUUGUUGCAGUUAAAAAGCUCGUAGUUGGAUUUCGGGGUGGCCUGCCUGGUCCACCGCAAGGUGAGUACUGGUCAGCCGCCCUUCCUCUCGAAAGCCCCGACUGCUCUUCACUGCAGUGGUCGGGUAGUUCGGGACGUUUACUUUGAAAAAAUUAGAGUGUUCAAGGCAGGCUAUCGCCUGAAUACAUUAGCAUGGAAUAAUGGAAGAGGACCUCGGUCCUAUUUUGUUGGUUUCUAGGGCCGAAGUAAUGAUUAAGAGGGACAGUUGGGGGCAUUCGUAUUUAAUUGUCAGAGGUGAAAUUCUUGGAUUUAUGAAAGACGAACUAGUGCGAAAGCAUUUGCCAAGGAUGUUUUCAUUAAUCAAGAACGAAAGUUAGGGGUUCGA
RNAcentral lists this ribosomal RNA (970 nucleotides) under Halichondria panicea. Its description in RNAcentral is "SSU rRNA". It matches the Rfam family "Eukaryotic small subunit ribosomal RNA", at positions 30 to 1001 of the family's 1831-position model. The record is from RNAcentral. Lineage: Eukaryota; Metazoa; Porifera; Demospongiae; Suberitida; Halichondriidae.